UACGUAGGGGGCGAGCGUUAUGCGGACUUACUGGGUGUAAAGGGUGCGCAGGCGGCUUGGUAAGUCAGAAGUGAAAGGUUGGGGCUCAACCCCGGAACUGCAUCUGUAACUGCUGAGCUAGAGUUUGGGAGAGGAAAGUGGAAUUCCUAGUGUAGCGGUGAAAUGCGUAGAGAUUCGGAGGAACACCAGUAGCGAAGGCAGCUCCCUGGACCAUAACUGACGCUGAUGCACGAAAGCGUGGGGAGCAAACAGG
This 253-nucleotide ribosomal RNA is filed under the name uncultured bacterium. RNAcentral's name for it is "partial 16S ribosomal RNA". It matches the Rfam family "Bacterial small subunit ribosomal RNA", at positions 524 to 776 of the family's 1533-position model. The record is from RNAcentral.